ACGGGUGAUAUUGAGAAAGGCAAGAAGAUUUGUGUUCAGAAGUGUGCCCAGUGCCACACUGUGGAAAAGGGAGGCAAGCACGAGACUGGGCCUAAUCUCCAUGUCUCUUUGGGUGGAAGACAGGUCAGGCCACUGGAUUCUCUUACACAGAUGCCAAUAAGAACAAAGGCAUUACCUGGGGAGAGGAUACCGAUGGAGUAUUUGGAGAAUCCCAAGAAGUACAUCCUUGGAACAAAAAUGAUCUUUGCCGACAUUAAGGCAGAAAAGGGCAGACUUGAUAGAUUAUCUCAAAAAAGCUACUAAUGGAUAA
This is an RNA transcript of Homo sapiens (human), 310 nucleotides long. It is a transcript of the gene named CYCS pseudogene 52, with no coding region annotated. The transcript has a single exon. NCBI's taxonomy places the organism in Eukaryota, Metazoa, Chordata, Mammalia, Primates, Hominidae. The record is from RefSeq and is marked provisional.